CCUACGGGGGGCAGCAGUCGAGAAUUAUUCACAAUGGGGGAAACCCUGAUGGUGCGACGCCGCGUGGGGGAAUGAAGGUCUUCGGAUUGUAAACCCCUGUCAUGUGGGAGCAAAUUAAAAAGAUAGUACCACAAGAGGAAGAGACGGCUAACUCUGUGCCAGCAGCCGCGGUAAUACAGAGGUCUCAAGCGUUGUUCGGAAUCACUGGGCGGAAGGCGUGCGUAGGCUGUUUCGUAAGUCGUGUGUGAAAGGCGCGGGCUCAACCCGCGGACGGCACAUGAUACUGCGAGACUAGAGUAAUGGAGGGGGAACCGGAAUUCUCGGUGUAGCAGGGAAAUGCGUAGAUAUCGAGAGGAACACUCGGGGCGAAGGCGGGUUCCUGGACAUUAACUGACGCUGAGGCACGAAGGCCAGGGGAGCGAAAGGGAUUAGAUACCCGAGUAGUC
Molecule: ribosomal RNA, 446 nt
Filed under: uncultured bacterium
Lineage: Bacteria
Description: partial 16S ribosomal RNA
Rfam family: Bacterial small subunit ribosomal RNA
Source: RNAcentral